UGGUCUUAUCGAACCGAAUCGCCAUCGUGAACUGCUUCGCGGCCUUGGCGUAAUCCCCGGACGCGAACGCGGCGUUGCCCUUCUCCUUCGCCUCGACCGCCAUCUUCGCGAACUUCGCGUUCUUCGUCUCCUCGUCGUCGCUGCUGCUGCUACUGGUGCUGCCAUCGCCGUCGCUGUCGCUGUCGUCGUCCAAGUCGUCGUCCAAGUCGUCCGGCGACGCCGCGAGCGGCGGCGUCCGCGGAUUCGCGGGAGUCGCCGCCGCCCGCGCCGAAGCCGCGGGGCUCGUCCUCCGCGCGCUCGACCCCGCCCCCAGGUCGGCGGCGGCGCCGCCGCCGCCGCCUCGCGCGCCUGCUGAACCCCCCUCACGAUCGCCGACGCCGCUCGCGGCGAAACCGCACACCGCGGCGACUUCCGCGUGCGAAUGCCUCGCCGCCGCUUCCCCCGGGGUGUCUCCGGGUCGUUCCAUACAAAGCGAAGUUGGGGUGGAGUUGAAAGGCGUCAGUUGGAGUUGAAAGGGGUCGAGGUCGGGGAUUGAAAGCGAGGUGUGGGCGGAGAGAGACGCCGGGAAAAGUCCUUAAGGAUCGGCGUUCACCACGCCGACGGGGUCGUAUGGGAACCAGUGUAUAGAACGCACCUCCGUUUUCGUCGCGUCGGUUCGGAUCCGCGCCCGCGCGCGCCAACGACAAAACCGCCGCCAUCUGACCGUUACUCGCGGCCGCGUGCAGCGGCGUCGCGCCCUCCGCGUUCAAAGCGUUCGCGUCCGCGUCGACUUCGAACAACAGCCAGUCCACGACCGCGGACUCCCCGCGCGCGCACGCCCAGUGCAACGCCGUGUGUCCGACUCCCGCGCUGCGGUGAUACAAGAGCGUCGGCGUCUGUCCGAGCAUGCCGCGCAUCGUCCCGAUGUUACCCUCCUUCGCGGCGUCGAUCCACCGCUUCCCCUCCGCGCGGUCGAUAGACCCGGGAGGGGGUUGGCGCGACGUCGACGGCUUCGGGUUCCACGACGCGUGCGCGGCCGCGGACGGGACGGACGUCGUCGUCGUCGUCGUCGUCGUCGCGUCCCCAGCCCCGCCGGCGUCGGCGACCGCGGCGGCUCUCGCCUUCUUCGCCUUCUUCUUCUUCUCCUUCUUCUUCUGGUUCUUCGAGUGGUUCGCCCCGGGGGUCCCGCUCGGCGUCGGUUCAUCCUCCGAAUCGUCGCCGACGUCCACGGCGUCGCGAUCGACGACGAGCGUCGGCGGGGUCGCGCCGCCGGACUUCCCGCGGCGAAACGUCCCUCGCCCCCCGCCUUUGCCUCUCCUCCUCCCUCCGCCGCCGCCGCCGCCGCCGCCCAUGCCGAUCUGCUGCAUCAUAUCCACGAGAUCCGGCGGCAUCCCGUCCAUCAUCCCUCCGUCUCCUCCGUCCAUCCCCCCGUGGGCGCCCAUCUGCGACAACAUCGACAACAACGCGUCCGCCUCCUCGCCCGCGGCGCCGCCUUUCCCGGCGUCCUCCCGCAGCAUCUGCUCGAACAUCCCGGGGGGCAUCUGGGACAGCAUCGCCUCGAGGUCGUCGUCGUCCACGUCCUCGUCGUCCAGCCCCAGCCCGCCCAUCAUCCCGCCGGGGAAGCCGCCGCCGCGGAAGCCGCCGCGGCGGGUCCCCGCGCGUCCUCCCCGGCUCCGGCUGCCGCCUGCGUGGGUGAAGCGAUCGGUCAGUCGAAUGUCUUACCGGUCAAACGUUGAAAGGGAAGCGCGGGUGAAGAGUGAUGACGGGAAAAGUCCUUAAGGAACGGCGUUCACCACGCGAACGGGGUCGUAUGGGAAGCAGUCUCACCUCCCCGGCUCGACGACCCCCCGGGUUUGGGUCCCCCUGAUGUUCUGCCCGCGCUCGCGCUCUUCCUCCCUCCCGCCCGCGGCGGCAUCCGCGGCGUGCCCUCCGCCUCCUCCUCCUCUUCCUCCUCCCACUCGUCAGACGAGUCGUCAGAGAAGAACGCGCCCCCGCCCGCGCCGCCGCCGGCUGCGCCGCCGCCGCCGCCUCCGCUGAACAGCGCCGCCAGCGCCUCCGGGCCGCCGCUCUCGAGCAGCUCCUCCACCGCGGGGGGGACGUGAAAGUCGUCGCUGAACUUCAUCCCGGGAGGGAACGUCCCGGGGGGGAACAAGGCUUUUGGGAACGGGAACGGCGGCAUGCUCGCGAGGUCGUCCUCGUGGAGUCCCUCGAGCAUGUCCGCGAUCGUGCCUCCGCCGAGCAUCUCGCGCAUCAUCUCUUGAAACACGCUCACGAAGUCCUCCGCGCUGACGUCGAUCUCCUCCACGUCACCGGUGUCGUCGUAGUACUUCUUCUUCUUCGCGUCGCUCAGGAUGGCGUACGCCUUGCCGAUGUCCUUGAACGUCUCGGUCGCGACCUCGUCGCCGGGGUUCUUGUCGGGAUGGAAUCUGAGCGCGAGCGUGCGAUACGCCUUUUUUAUCGCGCCCGAGGACGCGUCUCGCGUCAGCCCGAGCGUGGCGUACAGGUCCACGGAGUCGCGCUCGUCCUCGGGGGCGGGCGACGGCGGGGCCAUGGGCGGCGGGCGCCGCCGCGCCUUGCCGCGGUCGCGCAUCGCCGCGCGCGCGCCGUCGCGAGUGCCAGCCAGAUCGCGCGCGAGAGAACACGCAAUAAGAUGAUGAAGCAGUCCGCGGUGCCUUUCGCGCCCAUCCCAGCCCGUUUAAAAUUGCUGUCGCGAACGGCGUUCGUCGCACUGACCGCCCGCGCCGCCCGUCCGAACGGAAACGCGCCAUGGACGUCAGCCCGGAGGCGCUCAGCGAGCUGAAACAGGCGCGCGUCCAUCGCGCGAACGUCGCCCGUCGCCGACGCGCCCGCGCGGAGCCGUCCGUCCGUCCGUCCGUCCGUUCGCACGCGCGGAGGCGCGCGUCGGCCGUUCGCGUCCCUUCCGCCCCCUCUCGUCAUCAUUCGCGAAUCUGAGACGCCCCCCCCCCCCAUGCCAUGCCUCGCCUCGCCCCUCCCGCGCACGCGCAGGCUCUGACGACGUCGCUCGAGCGCAAGGGCGUCCUCGCGAAGCUCAAAGCCGAGCUCCGCGCGCACGUGUUCGAGGCGGUUCGCUCGAAGGACGCGUCCGCGGACGACGACGCGAACGGACGUCGACAGAAGCAUCGUUCUCUGCCCAAGGCGAAGCUCCUGUCCGCGCUCGUGCUCGAGUACCUCGAGUGGAGCGGACUCUCGAGCUCGAGAAGCGUGUUCGCCGCGGAGUCGGGGGAGGAGGAGAACUACGAGGGGCGCGACGUCCUCGCCGCGAAGCUCGGGACGCGAGGGACAUCGAGCGAGCGACCGCUCCUCCUCGCCGUGCUAGAGAGUCACUUCGGGGUGGAAGAUCCCUUGGACGAGCUCCCAGCCCCCGGGGGCGCCGCGACGACGGGGCCGGGAGGAGGCGGCGUUCACGGCGGCGGCGCGCGGGCCCCGAGCAAGGUCGGGAAGCUCGCGCCGCUCGCGCCGUCCGUGAACCUCGGCGCGACGAUGGGCAAGCGCGGCGCCGCGGUGACACUUCCGCCCGCGUCGCCGUCGCCGAGGUCGUCCGGGGGUAACGUCCUCGUCUCGGACGACGAGUCGAUCGAGAUCGGCGAGGACCUGGACUACAGCGACCUCGGGCGCGACACCGGGAACCUCUCGCUCGACGGCGGCGGCGGGGAAAGUCCGUACGGCAGCGCGUACGGCGGCCUCGGGCGCGACACCGGCGUGUCGAUGGACGCCGGCGCGGGGGGCGCGUCGAUGUCGAUGGGGGGCGGGAACGGGAGCGUCGCGUUUCACGACGGACUGAGCGACCGGAGCGGCAGCAUCGACGGCGCGGACGACGGCAGCGUGGACCUCGUCGAGAGCGCGGUGCCGAGGAGCCCGACGCUGGGCGGGGGGGGGGUCUCGCCCAGGGGCGGCGGCGGACGCGGGAGGAGAUAGAAGAAGAGAGAGGUGGAGCGCAGCGUCUGGCGUAGAAGAGUCGUCGCGACUGGACGAAAGAAUGAUGAGAUCGCGACCAAAACUCGCGCGUCGUCGUCGUCGUCGUCGUCGUCGUCGUCGUCGUCGUCGUCGUCGUCGUCGUCGUCGUCGUCGUCGUCGUCGUCGUCGUCGUCGUCGUCGUCGUCGUCGUCGUCGUCGUCGUCGUCGUCGUCGUCGUCGUCGUCGUCGUCGUUCGUUUCGUUCGUCUUCACUUCACGAGUCGGCGUCCGACGCUAAGUUAGGAGAUAGUAUCAUAAAUCGCGAUCGAUCGAAUCGCUUCGAGUAAUAUAAUACCGCGGAGUAAUAUCGCUCGCUUUCGCUUUACUUCUUCUUCCCGAAGAGGCCGAAGAGGCCGCCGCCGCCCUCCUUCUUCGGGCGUCCCGCGAACGGAUCCUUGAUGCUCGGCGGCGCCGACUUCUUGAUGAGCUUGGAGCUCCCGCCGACGGUCUUGUUCAUGGCGUUGUACUUCGCCUGGUUCGCCUUGCGCGCGGCAGCCUUGCGCGCCUCCUCCGCCUUCUUCGCCUCCUUCGCCUUGACGGCAGCCGCCUUGGCCUGAUCGGCGAGCUUCUUCGCCUUGUCCUUCGCCGCCUGAGGGUGUUUGGCCGUACGAAGUUUUGACGACGUCGGGGUGGAGUCGAAAGGCGGCGUCAGUCGACAAGGUUGAAAGGCACGCGUCGCGUAGGUGUGUCGGGAUCGAAAGCGAGGGGCGACGGGCGGAGAGAUGCGCCGGCCGGGAGAGAAAGUCCUCGAGGAACCGCGCGCGCCGCGCCGACGCGGUCUUGUCGCGCGGGGACCGGCGCGGUCACGGGACGCGCCUGCGCCUUCUUGCGGUCCGCCUCUUGCUUCGCCUUCAUCGCCUUGCGACGCGCGUCCGUGUCGAUGGUGCGGCCGGCGCGGACGACGAACGCGGGCUUGACGUUCGCCUUGAACGCCUGGAGAAGAAGAGUGAACGGGAGGGCGGGGCCCACGGAGUGAUGAGCGAAAUGAAUGAUUGAAUCAACACGAGGAUGAUGGAUGCGUGACCGGACGGAUACGGACGCCGGCGCGCGUCUCCGGACGCGUCGCCGCCGCGGCCGUCGGCGCGAGCGAGAGGACGCGCCGCGCGCGAUGCCGAGACGUCGCCGCGGCGUCGAGGCGCGCGGCGCGACGCCUCCGGACGCGCGGGGGUCAGAGCGCGCGCGGCGGAUCCGCCGUCGUGUCCGUCCGCCGCGGUUCCGUGCCCCGCGGCUGCGAGAAGCCUUUAUCGAUCGAUCGAGCGACGCGCGCGGGUCCGGGCGCGAGACGACGACGUACCGUCUGCUUGAGAGCAGCCGGCGCCGCGAUCUUGGAGGUGAGAGACGUGGCGUACAUGGCGUUGAGCGUGCGGUGGGUUGUGCCGGCCGCGCGCCUCGCGCGCGAUCGCGCGACGCGUCGAGCCGCGCGGUCAGUCACCGAAACGCCUCGCAGGGCACCGCGCGCGUUUCUGAUUGGCGGAGAAUGGGGACGGGAAUCAGUGCCGAUUUUCGUGGCGACGGAGAAAGCAGACUGAGUCAGCAGUGGCGACGGAGACGUAUCGCGUACUACGGCGAAAACUACUCGCGCUCGGCCGUCUCGACGGCCGUCGUUUGGCGUUCGAUCGGCGACGUCGGCGCGUUCACCCCGGGAUGUUGAUCGCGGUUUGCGAUCGCGAGCUUCCUUUCAAAAACCAAACGCGCCCCAGGCAGGGCGACGCAAGAGAGAAAGCGCCUUCCGUCGUCGUCUCGUCACCAGUCGACGCCCUCCAUGUCCGCCGCGAGGGUCGUCCUCACCGCCGCGCGUCCCACCGCGACGAUGCGCGCGACGAAGACGACGGCCGCCGCCGCCGCCGCGGCGGCGGCGUCUUCCUCCGGCGCCGGCGCGCCCGUCCCGUUCGCGCGCGUCCCCGCGCCGUGGUCGGCGUCCGGGGCGUCCGCGUCCGACGCCGCGACGCCGACGCCGACGCCCGCGCCGCGCGUCGUCAAGGUCGCGCUCUGCCAGCUCGCGUGUCCCACCGCGGACAAGGUGGCGAACAUCGCGCGCGCGAGGGAGGCGAUACGAAACGCCGCGGAGGGCGGCGCCGCGCUCGUCGUCCUCCCGGAGAUGUGGUGCGGUGCAUUCAUCAUCAUCACAUCACACUGGUCCCCCAUACGACCGCGUCGGCGAGGUGGACGCCGUUCCUUAAGGACUCGAGGACUUCCCGGCGUCUCUCGGUUUCAACCCCCGCCCACGACGCCUUUCACCAAGACUCCACCCCUGACGCGCCUUUCGACUGACUCCGCCCCGACCCUAAGGAACUGCCCGUACGCGAACGAAUCCUUCCCCGCGCACGCCGAGACGAUCGGCGCGUCCAUCGCGGACUGGCCCAGCGGCGCGGAGAGGGCUACUACUGAAAAAAGUAACGACCCGACGCCGUCGGUUACGAUGCUCUCCGAGGCCGCGGCGGCGCACGACAUCGUCCUCGUCGGCGGCAGCAUCCCAGAGCGCGGCGUCGGCGUCGGCGGCGGCGGCGGCGCGGACGAGGAGGACGUCCUCUACAACGCCUGCUGCGUCUUCGACGGAAAACGGGGGCUGAUCGCACGACACCGAAAGACGCACCUGUUCGACGUGGACAUCCCGGGGGAGAUAUCGUUCAGGGAGAGCGACACGUUGACCGAGGGCGAGGGGCUCACCGUGGUCGACACCGCGGUCGGGAGGGUGGGGGUGGGGAUAUGCUUCGACGUGCGGUUCGGAGAGAUGGCAGCCGCGAUGGCGAAUCGAGGCGCCGACGGUGCGUCUGUUUACGACUUGAUGAGCUCAUUCGGUUUCGCGGUCAAACCGCUCGGUUUCGAGUUCGUUCGGUCCCUCCCGCGCCUCCGCCGCGCGACCGACCCCAUCUUCUCACCGACCGACCGACACUACGCCGACAGUCCUGAUCUACCCUGGCGCGUUCAACACCGUCACGGGACCGCAUCACUGGGAACUCCUGCAACGCGCGCGCGCCGUCGACAAUCAGGCGCGUUCUAUACACUGGUCCCCAUACGACCGCGUUGGCGUGGUGAACGCCGAUCCUUAAGGACUUUCGCUGUCGUCUCUCUCCGCCCAUCCAAUGCGUUCAAUCCCCGCCCUCGACGCCUUUGAACUCCAACUGACGCCUAUGAACUCCACCCCGACAUGGCUUUGUAUGGAAUGGCCCUCAGUGCUUCGUCCUGACGUGCUCGCCCGCGAGGAACACCACGGGGGAGGGGUACCAAGCCUGGGGGCACAGCACCGCGGUCGGGCCGUUCGCGGAGGUGCUCGCGACGACGGACGAGCGCCCGGGGAUCGUCUUCGCGGACUUGGAUCUCGGAGAGGUGACGCGGCGGCGGCGGAACAUGCCGCUGGCGACGCAGCGACGCGGGGAUCUGUACGCGCUUCACGACCUCGGCGCCGUGCGCGGGGAUGCGUAGGUAGGGUACCUGGAAGGGAUAGUGGGGUCGACGAGUACACGUGUGCACAGUGCGUGUACUUCAAAACAAAACAACUCGGCAACUCGAUGAGCUACAGUAGUCACUCCGCCGGCGCGCGCGUCCCUCCGUCGUCGUCGAAGUCGUCCGUGAGCUUGAUUAUCUCGAACUCCGCGGCGUCGUCGGCACUGAACGCGAAAUCCAACGCCUCGACGACCGUGUUCAUCGAGACCGCGAGCGCGAGCACGAACAGCACGUACGCGCUGUCGUUGACCUUGCCGUAGUACAUCUCGACGAAGCCGUUCUGAGAGUAGAAGAAAAAGUACGACGCGUAGUACAGCGACUUGGAUGCGACGUCGAACUGUCCGAACAUCCUCGCGGCGGCGAACACCGCGAGCAUGACGCCCGCGCACGCGUGCGCGACGACGCCUAACCGGUUCGGCUGCUCGUGCAACAGCACGAAUAUCCCGAACCCGAUCCCCAUCAGCGACAGGGUGAACUUCGACCGGUGAACGACGACGUCGACCCCGAUGGCGAUGAACAAGACGUUGACGGCGACGUGCUGUUGCUCGCGAAGCGACGUGCACGCGAAGUCGAGGUGGCACUUAGAAAACAACAAGUCGUAGAGGACGUAGAAGCCGCCGCCGAGGAUGGCGACCCAGCCUUGCGCGACGACCGUGUUCGGGCCUGGGGAUGGAAUCGUUCGGCGUCAGCGGGGACGGGGACGGGGACGACGGCCGGCCGGCCGGGGGAAGGACGUGACGUAGGCCCGUUGCAUUGCCGCAACCAAAACCGAAUUUUAACCGACCGAAAGAAGUCGUCGGUUACUCUCGGACGAGUCGACCGGGGAUUCGAUUCGACGCCGCGCCGCGCGCCUCCGCGACGCGCGCGUCGACGCGACGCGACGCACCCGGGUACCGCUCGAGCUCGCUGAAGAUGUACAUCACCGCCGCGGGCCCCAAGUGCCCCAGGUACGUGUUCCAGUGCGUCGGUAGCACGCCCGCGGCGAGGCAGAUGACAGAUCCUAGGAUCGCGUGACACGCGCCGAGCGUCGCGCGAAUGCGCCGCCCGCAGCACGGCGAGGAGAUCCCCCGCGAGCGCGUCGCGCCGUGGCCGUUCAGGACGCCGUAUCCGCGUGAGGAACGCGCCAUCUCGCUCGGUCUGCGGUCGCGACGCGCGGGCGCGGAGUGGCGUCCCCGAAACAUCGUUCGACUUCGUCCGAACCCGCCCGAACCGCGGUUCGUCGUCUUCUCGUACGUACGUGUACUUUAUACGAGCAAUUUCCCUGAGCGCGACUCGUCUACCGCGACGAAACUCCCAACUAAUCUGCGGUGCGGCUGCGGCACUACGUGUGACACACCGAAGCGCGCGCGGCGCGGCGCGGCGCGAAGACGAUCCGAUGGGUCUGGACGGCGGGACGGUCAUCUCGCGCACGGACGUCCUCCGCGGCGCGUCGUGGGACCUCGCGCAGGCGGACGCGUCCACGUCCACGCGCGGCGGGCAGCUCAGCUCGCAUCGGCGGCACGGCGCCUCGCGCGCGCUGCCGCCGUCGGUCGUCCGCGAGACGCGAUGGCGCGUUUGCGCGCUCUCUGGCGCGCCGCUGUCUCCCGCGCGCGGCGUCGUCGCGUGCGCGCUCGGGAGGCUGUACGACCGCGAGACCGCGCUGACGCACGUUUUGACGAGGCACGGCGUGUUCACGUCCGAGGAGGCGACGUACGCGUACGCGAACCGGCUCAACAGCUCGGGCGCGAUCGGCGACGCGUCGCAUCUCCGCGCGCGCUCGGACUUUUUCGAGGUGCGCCUCGCGAGAGCCGCGGACGCGACGGAGGAGACGCCCGAGUUUGAGUGCCCGGCGACGGGCGCGCGGUGCGGGCGCUCGGCGGUCGCGUUCGUCGCGCUGCGGCCGUGCGGGCACGUGGUGUCGGAGAAGGCGGCGAGAGAGGCGGCGAAGGCGGCGGCGGUGGGGGGAGGAGGAGGAGGAGGAGGAGAAUCAGAAUCGCCGCCGACGCCGCCGACGUGCCCGGCGUGCGAGGUGCCCUUCGACCCGGCGCACUCGCUCCCGAUCCACGGCACGGAGGCGCAGGUGGAGAAGCUCCGCGACGCGAUGGACCGACGGCACGCGGCGGAGGACGACGCGAAGGCGCGGAGGAAGGGCAGGCGCGAGGCUAAGAGACGCAAACGGACGACGGAGUCGGAGAGCGCGUGCGGCUGAACGAUCUGAGGCGCGUUCUAUACGAACGAUGAUAUCGGGGUGGAGUUCAAAGGCGUUAGGUGGAGUUGAAAGGCGCCGAGGGCGGGGAUUGAACGCGAGGGACCCUGGGCGGAGAGAAACGACGGGAAAAGUCCUUAAGGAACGGCGUUCACCACGGCGACGGGGUCGUAUGGGGACCAGUGUAUAGAACGCGCCUACUGAUGAGAGAACG
Molecule: long non-coding RNA, 9796 nt
Filed under: Micromonas pusilla
Lineage: Eukaryota; Viridiplantae; Chlorophyta; Mamiellophyceae; Mamiellales; Mamiellaceae
Description: long non-coding RNA (MPUS_LNC000171)
Source: RNAcentral